UACGUAGGCAGCGAGCGUUGUUCGGAGUUACUGGGCGUAAAGGGUGUGUAGGCGGUUCUUUAAGUUUGGUGUGAAAUCUCCCGGCUCAACCGGGAGGGUGCGCCGAAUACUGAAUGACUAGAGUGCGGGAGAGGAUAGUGGAAUUCCUGGUGUAGCGGUGAAAUGCGUAGAUAUCAGGAGGAACACCGGUGGUGUAGACGGCUAUCUGGACCGUAACUGACGCUGAGGCACGAAAGCGUGGGUAGCAAACAGG
RNAcentral lists this ribosomal RNA (253 nucleotides) under uncultured bacterium. RNAcentral's name for it is "partial 16S ribosomal RNA". It matches the Rfam family "Bacterial small subunit ribosomal RNA", at positions 524 to 776 of the family's 1533-position model. The record is from RNAcentral.